This is a non-coding RNA of Pelobates cultripes (western spadefoot toad), 230 nucleotides long. The record is from the annotation of a GenBank genome assembly. Lineage: Eukaryota; Metazoa; Chordata; Amphibia; Anura; Pelobatidae.
GUGGGUAGUCUCGAGUGUAUAGUGGCAGGAACUUCACGAUUUUGCCACCGUUGAAAGUUGCCAGGAUAACCCCCACCGGCUGGAAGCACCACUGGUAUGGGAGCUAGGGGUGUCACCCGAUAUUGUAGUGUAGAGGGCUGUAAGUUUUGGGUUGCAGGGUUGUAUUUAUCACUUAUUUAUGAGCCAGAUUGUGCGGAGCUCUCAGUGUGUACGACCAUUCCGUGCAGCUG